RNAcentral lists this unclassified non-coding RNA (288 nucleotides) under uncultured fungus. RNAcentral's name for it is "sequence contains ITS1". The record is from RNAcentral. Lineage: Eukaryota; Fungi.
GGACUACAAGGGUUUCUAAUCCUGUUUGCUCCCCACGCUUUCGCACCUCAGUGUCAGUAUCAGUCCAGGUAGUCGCCUUCGCCACUGGUGUUCCUUCCUAUAUCUACGCAUUUCACCGCUACACAGGAAAUUCCACUACCCUCUACCAUACUCUAGCUUGCCAGUUUUGGAUGCAGUUCCCAGGUUGAGCCCGGGGAUUUCACAUUCAACUUAACAAACCACCUACGCGCGCUUUACGCCCAGUAAUUCCGAUUAACGCUUGCACCCUCUGUAUUACCGCGGCUGCUG